UCCGCCCUACGGGACGCAGCAGUAGGGAAUUUUCGUCAAUGGGCGCAAGCCUGAACGAGCAAUGCCGCGUGAACGAGGAAGGUCUUCGGAUCGUAAAGUUCUGUUGAAGGGGAAAAAGAGCGGAGAGAGGAAAUGAACUCCGAUUGAUAUUACCCUUCGAGGAAGUCACGGCUAACUACGUGCCAGCAGCCGCGGUAAUACGUAGGUGGCGAGCGUUAUCCGGAAUGAUUGGGCGUAAAGGGUGCGUAGGCGGCCUGCUAAGUCUGGAGUGAAAGUUACCGGCUCAACCGGUACAGGCUCUGGAA
RNAcentral lists this ribosomal RNA (305 nucleotides) under uncultured bacterium. RNAcentral's name for it is "bacterial SSU rRNA". It matches the Rfam family "Bacterial small subunit ribosomal RNA", at positions 333 to 631 of the family's 1533-position model. The record is from RNAcentral.